Molecule: ribosomal RNA, 1035 nt
Filed under: Toxicum sp. NLG-2012
Lineage: Eukaryota; Metazoa; Arthropoda; Insecta; Coleoptera; Tenebrionidae
Description: partial 16S ribosomal RNA
Source: RNAcentral
GAUUAUUAAUCGAUAGUCCACGUUAAUUUUUACUUGAUUUUUAAAUUUAUAUAUCGUCGUUUUCUAAAAAUUUUAGGAUUAAAUUUUUUCAGAUCAAGGUGUAGUUUAUAGUUAAGUUUAAAUGGAUUACUUUAAAAAUUUUUGAUAAAUUGGAUUUGAAAGUAAGCUCUAAUAUAUGUACAUAUCGCCCGUCGCUUUCGCUUUAAGGUGAAAUAAGUCGUAACAAAGUAGACUUAACGGAAGUUGAGUCUAGAAUACAAAUUAGAGCUUGUUAAGCGUUUUAUUUACACUAAAAAGUUAAUUGUAUAUUCAAUUUAAUUUGAUUUGAAUUUUUUAUUUAUUUUUAAUGUGGAAAGUAUUUUUAAGUUUUUAGAAAUUUAAUUAUAGUUUAUUGUACUGAGAGGGAUUAUUAGGUAUAUAUUUAAAGUAGUUUUUGUUUUAUGUACCUUGUGUAUCAGGGUUGAUUAAUUCAUUUUUCUCGAAGCUUAAGGGGCUAUUUUUUAUGUGGCAUAAUAAUUUAUAAUUAAUUAAUAGUAAUGAAACGUUAAUCGUCUUUUGCUAUAUCUAGUUUUUUAAGAAAUUAAUUUAAUUAAUUUUUUUUAAAUAUUUAUUUAAGGGACUAUCUUUUUGGUAGAUUUUUAUAAUUAAUGAUUUAUUAAUAAUGUGUAGGAUUAGAAUUUUUUAUCUUUUGGAGGAUGUUUUAAUUUAUUGUUUUAAGUUUUUUAUUAAAGUUGAUUAUUUAAUAAUAUUUUAAUUGAAAUAAUGAUUUAAUUAGUAAAAUUAGUUUAAGGAAUUCGGCAAAUUAAUUUUCACCUGUUUAUUAAAAACAUGGCCUUUUGAGAAUUAUUUAAGGUCUAGCCUGCCCAAUGAUUGAAUGGCCGCAGUAUUUUGACUGUGCAAAGGUAGCAUAAUCAUUAGUUUUUUAAUUGGAAGCUGGUAUGAAUGGUUUUAUGAGAAAUUAACUGUCUCUAGAAUUUAAAUUUUGAGUGAGAAUGCUUAAAUGAAUUAGUGGGACGAUAAGACCCUAUAGAGUUU